This 862-nucleotide ribosomal RNA is filed under the name Streptomyces sp. INBio2579C. RNAcentral describes it as "bacterial SSU rRNA". It matches the Rfam family "Bacterial small subunit ribosomal RNA", at positions 17 to 894 of the family's 1533-position model. Lineage: Bacteria; Bacillati; Actinomycetota; Actinomycetes; Kitasatosporales; Streptomycetaceae. The record is from RNAcentral.
UCAUGGCUCAGGACGAACGCUGGCGGCGUGCUUAACACAUGCAAGUCGAACGAUGAAGCCCUUCGGGGUGGAUUAGUGGCGAACGGGUGAGUAACACGUGGGCAAUCUGCCCUGCACUCUGGGACAAGCCCUGGAAACGGGGUCUAAUACCGGAUAUGACCAUCUUGGGCAUCCUUGAUGGUGUAAAGCUCCGGCGGUGCAGGAUGAGCCCGCGGCCUAUCAGCUUGUUGGUGAGGUAAUGGCUCACCAAGGCGACGACGGGUAGCCGGCCUGAGAGGGCGACCGGCCACACUGGGACUGAGACACGGCCCAGACUCCUACGGGAGGCAGCAGUGGGGAAUAUUGCACAAUGGGCGAAAGCCUGAUGCAGCGACGCCGCGUGAGGGAUGACGGCCUUCGGGUUGUAAACCUCUUUCAGCAGGGAAGAAGCGAAAGUGACGGUACCUGCAGAAGAAGCGCCGGCUAACUACGUGCCAGCAGCCGCGGUAAUACGUAGGGCGCAAGCGUUGUCCGGAAUUAUUGGGCGUAAAGAGCUCGUAGGCGGCUUGUCACGUCGAUUGUGAAAGCUCGGGGCUUAACCCCGAGUCUGCAGUCGAUACGGGCUAGCUAGAGUGUGGUAGGGGAGAUCGGAAUUCCUGGUGUAGCGGUGAAAUGCGCAGAUAUCAGGAGGAACACCGGUGGCGAAGGCGGAUCUCUGGGCCAUUACUGACGCUGAGGAGCGAAAGCGUGGGGAGCGAACAGGAUUAGAUACCCUGGUAGUCCACGCCGUAAACGGUGGGAACUAGGUGUUGGCGACAUUCCACGUCGUCGGUGCCGCAGCUAACGCAUUAAGUUCCCCGCCUGGGGAGUACGGCCGCAAGGC